AUUGACCUCUGAUUUCUCUUGUUCCUACACUUUCCAGCCUCACAGGUCAAUCACAAGACUGUUUUCUUUGCUGGCACUUGCAUGGUUUUCAGGACUGGUGGGAGGCAUACCUGUACCCUAAAAUCAAUAAUGACUUGCAAAGAUAUGUUUACUUUGACUUUAGUUCUAUUGGAAUUCUGUAACCUUGGGCAGUUCUCAAAUAUAUUUUUUCUGAAGGGCAAAGUCAAGAGGUUCCCCAUCCCCUCUCCUCCUCUUAGGAAUAGAGGUAGAGGACCAUCAGAAACAGGACAAAGCUGCUGCUCUGCAGGUUCUGAGAAUUUCAACUUGUGGGACUUUCAUGGUGAGAUUUCAGGUUCAUCCCAUCCAGGGCCCUCUGCCACGAGAGUGGAACACUGGCCAUGCUCUCUCUGGGCAGCCAUUUAUAGUUCUGCCAUUUUGAUUUUCUUUCACUACUACCCCUCUGUGGAUAAUGCACAUACCAAAGAUAUUACCUACUAUGUAAACCCAUCUAGGAAGUUCUCAUUUUUAUCCCUCAUAAUAUUCUGAAACCUGGAGCAUUAAGCAAUCUCUUGUAAUAAUAAUCACGAUUUCUGUAAGGCUCAUUUAGGGCUGCUGUGCAGGGCUUUAAGUAUUCACUGACGACUCGUGGCGCCUCUAUGAGGUAGCUGCUUUGUUAUCCCCUUUUCAAAGGUAAGGAAAUUGAGCCACAGAGAGACUUAGAUCAUGAGGCUAGUAAGUGGAAAAGCUGAGAAGCAAAUGCAGGUAUCCUGGUUCCAGAAUCAGACUGCUAGCCCCUGUUUUAGCCCCUAAAAUGGCCCCAAUGAUCCCUGCCUUCUGACUUUCAGGCUUCUAUGUGGAAGCUGAAGAUUUUGACUUGCCUCUAAUAAAUAGAACAACAGAAGCGACAAGAUAUUAUUUCUGAGGUUAGGAUAUAAAACAAUGGCAGGUUCCAUUUGGGGCACUCCUUCUUGCUCUCUUGGGUGACUCACGCAUGAAAGCCAGCCUCCAUGGCAUGCAAGAGCCCUGUAAAGAAGCUCACAGGAGUAAACUGAAUACAAAUUUCUAAAUCUGCCAACAGCUAUGGGAGUGAGCCUGGCAACAGAUUCCUCAGCCCCAGUCUGACCUUGAGAUGACUGCAAACUUGGGGAAGACUUUGAGCCACAAGUACCCCACUAAGAGGUCUGGACUCCUGGCCAGUAGAAACUUGUUUUCCACUGGCCCUCAUGGGUUGCCUACCAAGGCACCUGCCCAACUGACCAUCCCUUCACUUGACUUUGAUUCUGAGGGGAGCUAGAGUGGAGCACAGAGCUACCCUCAGCUGAGAACUGAGAAGCAAAGCCUCAGAACAGAACUUCGUGAAGUUGCUGUAAACUUUUGGGAAACAAGGUGAGUCAGGCAGCCCUGGUCCAUCACACACUGGUCUCAACGAGUGAUCUGCAGUCACCACGGUGAGGGAAAAGAGAAGUGGCCAAUCCUGAAGAAGUUUCCUUAAAUCCAGCCUGGGAGUGACUGACAGCGCUGGUGACCUCAUCCUAUUAACCUUCUGCUAACCCAGUCACCUGGCCCCAACCUCACCACAACAGAAGCCAGACCAGCUAUAAAGUAAGUCAGCAUCCAUAACUUGAAGGCUAUGAUUCUAAACGAUCUCCUGGAAAAGCGCCUCCUUCGAAAGUACCCAGAUG
Mustela erminea (ermine) is the source of this 1682-nucleotide long non-coding RNA. RefSeq lists it as uncharacterized. NCBI's taxonomy places the organism in Eukaryota, Metazoa, Chordata, Mammalia, Carnivora, Mustelidae. The transcript has 4 exons. The record is from RefSeq and is a predicted model, not a curated record.